UACAGAGGUCUCAAGCGUUGUUCGGAUUCAUUGGGCGUAGAGGGUGCGUAGGUGGCGCCGUAAGUCAGGUGUGAAAUUUCGGAGCUUAACUCCGAAACUGCAUUUGAUACUGCGGUGCUUGAGGACUGGAGAGGAGACUGGAAUUUACGGUGUAGCAGUGAAAUGCGUAGAGAUCGUAAGGAAGACCAGUGGCGAAGGCGGGUCUCUGGACAGUUCCUGACACUGAGGCACGAAGGCCAGGGGAGCAAACGGG
RNAcentral lists this ribosomal RNA (253 nucleotides) under uncultured bacterium. RNAcentral describes it as "partial 16S ribosomal RNA". It matches the Rfam family "Bacterial small subunit ribosomal RNA", at positions 524 to 776 of the family's 1533-position model. The record is from RNAcentral.